RNAcentral lists this ribosomal RNA (301 nucleotides) under uncultured bacterium. Its description in RNAcentral is "partial 16S ribosomal RNA". It matches the Rfam family "Bacterial small subunit ribosomal RNA", at positions 509 to 809 of the family's 1533-position model. The record is from RNAcentral.
CAGUCGCCACGGUAAUACGGAGGGGGCUAGCGUUGUUCGGAAUUACUGGGCGUAAAGCGCACGUAGGCGGCUUGGUAAGUUAGAGGUGAAAGCCCGGAGCUCAACUCCGGAAUUGCCUUUAAGACUGCCGAGCUAGCAGGUGAGAGAGGUAAGUGGAAUUCCGAGUGUAGAGGUGAAAUUCGUAGAUAUUCGGAAGAACACCAGUGGCGAAGGCGGCUUACUGGCUCAUACUGGACGCUGAGGUGCGAAAGCGUGGGGAGCAAACAGGAUUAGAUACCCGUGUAGUCCUGUCUCUUAUACA